UCGAGCGAGACCUUCGGGUCUAGCGGCGGACGGGUUAGUAACGCGUGGGAACGUGCCCUUCUCUGCGGAAUAGCCACUGGAAACGGUGAGUAAUACCGCAUACGCCCUUCGGGGGAAAGAUUUAUCGGAGAAGGAUCGGCCCGCGUUAGAUUAGAUAGUUGGUGGGGUAAUGGCCUACCAAGUCUACGAUCUAUAGCUGGUUUUAGAGGAUGAUCAGCAACACUGGGACUGAGACACGGCCCAGACUCCUACGGGAGGCAGCAGUGGGGAAUCUUAGACAAUGGGCGCAAGCCUGAUCUAGCCAUGCCGCGUGUGUGAUGAAGGUCUUAGGAUCGUAAAGCACUUUCGCCAGGGAUGAUAAUGACAGUACCUGGUAAAGAAACCCCGGCUAACUCCGUGCCAGCAGCCGCGGUAAUACGGAGGGGGUUAGCGUUGUUCGGAAUUACUGGGCG
This 452-nucleotide ribosomal RNA is filed under the name marine sediment bacterium BB0608_AND_5.2_6S0. RNAcentral describes it as "bacterial SSU rRNA". It matches the Rfam family "Bacterial small subunit ribosomal RNA", at positions 62 to 560 of the family's 1533-position model. The record is from RNAcentral.